RNAcentral lists this ribosomal RNA (541 nucleotides) under Cociella heemstrai. RNAcentral's name for it is "partial 16S ribosomal RNA". It matches the Rfam family "Bacterial large subunit ribosomal RNA", at positions 1851 to 2575 of the family's 2925-position model. The record is from RNAcentral. Lineage: Eukaryota; Metazoa; Chordata; Actinopteri; Perciformes; Platycephalidae.
GGCCUCGCCUGCCCAGUGACUUACGUUCAACGGCCGCGGUAUUUUGACCGUGCAAAGGUAGCGCAAUAACUUGUCUUUUAAAUGAAGACUAGUAUGAAUGGCAUCACGAGGGCUUAUCUGUCUCCUUUUUUAGGUCAAUGAAAUUGAUCUCCCCGUGCAAAAGCGGGGAUGCCCACAUAAGACGAGAAGACCCUGUGGAGCUUUAGACACCAAGACAGCUCACGUUAAAAGUACCUCAACAAAAGGUUAAAACUAAAAGAAACCUGCUCUGAUGUCUUUGGUUGGGGCGACCGCGGAGAACAAAAAAACCUCCCCUCCGCGUGGAACGGGGGCAAUUUUACCUAGCCCCUACAACCAAGAGUUACAACUCGAACUAACAGAACUUUCUGACCACUAAGAUCCGGCUCUAAGCCGAUCAACGAACCGAGUUACCCCAGGGAUAACAGCGCAAUCCCCUUUUAGAGUCCAUAUCGACAAGGUGGUUUACGACCUCGAUGUUGGAUCAGGACAUCCUAAUGGUGCAGCCGCUAUUAAGGGUUCG